Molecule: ribosomal RNA, 465 nt
Filed under: Pseudomesus sp. VTDes019
Lineage: Eukaryota; Metazoa; Arthropoda; Malacostraca; Isopoda; Desmosomatidae
Description: partial 16S ribosomal RNA
Rfam family: Archaeal large subunit ribosomal RNA
Source: RNAcentral
AAAAGGUAGCCCCUGCUCCAUGACUGUGAAUAGCCGCAGUAUUUUGACUGUGCUAAGGUAGCAUAAUAAUUUGCCCCUUAGUUGGGGGCUGGUAUAAGCGGGGAGACGAUGCCCCACCUUUUUUGACGUUAGUGCGUUAAUUUGAUGUUUGCGUCAAAAAGCGCAACUUAUUGGGAAGACGAUAAGACCCCGUAAAACUUCACCUGAGUCUGGAGGCGAUAUUUAGGUGAGCGGCUCUGGCGGGGGUUGAGCUGGGGCGGCAUUCAAAGAACCUUGACAGAAAUAACACGCAUGCGUGAGUAGGCGGAUCUGGCACAGAGGUGGAACAAGUUACUUCGGGGAUAACAGCGCAAUUCUCUUGGAUAGAUCUUAUAGAUGGGGGGGACUUGCGACCUCGAUGUUGAAUUGAGGGGCCCGAAUCGAGCAGAAACGAUUGCGGGGGGUCUGUUCGAUCUGUUAAACCUC